Molecule: long non-coding RNA, 1385 nt
Organism: Dreissena polymorpha
Lineage: Eukaryota; Metazoa; Mollusca; Bivalvia; Myida; Dreissenidae
Exons: 2
Source: RefSeq, a predicted model, not a curated record
UUUAUACGCCCGUCUAUGACGGGACGUAUUAUGGUAUACCCCGCGUCCGUCUGUCCGUCCGUCCGUCUGUCCGUCCGUAUGUCUGUUAAUGUCGUACGCUACGUCAAAUAUCCUUUGACAGAUUUUCUUCAAAUUUUAACACAAUCUUAAUAUUGAUAAACCCUGAUCCCCUUUCGUUUUUGACGGAAUUCUGAAUUGUCGUUCCAGAGUUAUGGGACUUUGUUCGUCAAAAUUUCGUGAUUUCAUUGAAUGUCCUACUGUAGCUAUAUAAAAAUGUUAAAGUUGUUAUAACUUUGGUAUGCUUGGACCUAGAGUCUUGAAACUUGACAUGAAGGUUGGCCAGAACUAGUAAGUAACCACUGGACAUUUCAAGGUCAUUCAUUUGAAGGUCAAGGUCACUGUGACCUUGAAUGUAAAAAUGUUAAAGUUCUUAUUUCAUGUUAUAACUUUGGUAUGCUUGUACCUAGAGUCUUCAAACUUGAAAUAAAGAUUGGCCAGUACUAGAAGAUGACCACUGGUCAUUUCAAUGUCAUUCAUUUGAAGGUCAAGGUCACUGUGACCUUAAAUGUUAAAAUGUUAAAAUUGUUAUAACUUUGGUAUGCUUGGACAUAGAGUCUUCAAACUUGACAUGAAGGUUUGCAAGCACACUUAGAUGACCACUGGUCAUUUCAAGGUCAUUCAUUCUAAGGUCAAGGUCACACAAGGUCACUGUGACCUUAAAUGUUAAAAUGUUAAAAUUGUUAUAACUUUGGUAUGCUUGGACAUAGAGUCUUCAAACUUGACAUGAAGGUUUGCAAGCACACUUAGAUGACCACUGGUCAUUUCAAGGUCAUUCAUUCUAAGGUCAAGGUCACUGUGACCUUAAAUGUUAUUGUUGUUCAUGUAUCCUACCGUAGCUCAAAUAUCCCCCGAUGGAUUUUUUAUACGCCCGUCUAUGACGGGACGUAUUAUGGUAUACCCCGCGUCCGUCUGUCCGUCCGUCCGUCCGUCCGUCCGUCUGUUAAUGUCGUACGCUACGUCAAAUAUCCUUUGACAGAUUUUCUUCAAAUUUUAACACAAUCUUAAUAUUGAUAAACCCUGAUCCCCUUUCGUUUUUGACGGAAUUCUGAAUUGUCGUUCCAGAGUUAUGGGACUUUGUUCGUCAAAAUUUCUUGAUUUCAUUGAAUGUCCUACUGUAGCUCAAAUAUCCUUCGAUGGAUUUUUUUCAAAUUUCAACACAAUCUUAAUAUUGAUAAACCCUGAUCCCCUUUCGUUUUUGACGGAAUUCUGAAUUGUCGUUCCAGAGUUAUGGGACUUUGUUCGUCAAAAUUUCGUGAUUUCCAUGCUCAUGUACUUAUAAAAUAAACCAUGUAUUCAAAUACAAAUAAACUGAAGUAAAAAAAUGA